Molecule: long non-coding RNA, 357 nt
Filed under: Lathyrus oleraceus (garden pea)
Lineage: Eukaryota; Viridiplantae; Streptophyta; Magnoliopsida; Fabales; Fabaceae
Description: Pisum sativum (pea) long non-coding RNA (PSAT_LNC036336)
Source: RNAcentral
AACUACAUAACAAACAAGAGAUGAUUGAAAUUUCAUCGAAAUAUUUGUCUUCUAUCUCACCCCAAAAGAUAAAAUAUUGUCUCAUAAAGAUAAUAAUGAGUAACAAUAAAUUUUAUGAACAUAUAAGAAUGAAGGUGAUAAUUAUCAUAUUGAUUAUGAAUUUUUAAUAGUUUUGAAACUAGAUUGUGAAAGUGUUUUUCCUUUUGUUCAUAUUUUUUUAAUGUUCCUCUUUGAAGGAUCAUAUUAAAAAUAUUUUAAAUUAUUUCUAUUAUAUUGUGAUCAUGUUAAAAUACGAACUCUAUUACUAACCAAUACAUAAAAAAGAUUUUUAAUAUGUCUUAUGACACUCGUUAUAAU